CUCUAGCAGACAUAAUAACAUUAUGGCCUUUGAAAUUAGGCCUCGUCAUGGUUAUUUUAUGCUGGUGUUUGGCUUUUCUUUGUGUUUGCUGAUUCCAGGUGUUGCUAUCCUGUUAAA
Long non-coding RNA from Eurytemora carolleeae, 117 nucleotides. RefSeq lists it as uncharacterized. The transcript is spliced from 3 exons. The record is from RefSeq and is a predicted model, not a curated record. Lineage: Eukaryota; Metazoa; Arthropoda; Copepoda; Calanoida; Temoridae.